RNAcentral lists this ribosomal RNA (146 nucleotides) under Shigella flexneri. RNAcentral describes it as "partial 23S ribosomal RNA". It matches the Rfam family "Bacterial large subunit ribosomal RNA", at positions 2797 to 2925 of the family's 2925-position model. Lineage: Bacteria; Pseudomonadati; Pseudomonadota; Gammaproteobacteria; Enterobacterales; Enterobacteriaceae. The record is from RNAcentral.
CCCCGAGAUGAGUUCUCCCUGACCCUUUAAGGGUCCUGAAGGAACGUUGAAGACGACGACGUUGAUAGGCCGGGUGUGUAAGCGCAGCGAUGCGUUGAGCUAACCGGUACUAAUGAACCGUGAGGCUUAACCUUACAACGCCGAAG